GUGUCGUAUGGGUUGGAGUCAAUGUUCUUCUUCUGCAGAAAGUCUAUCUCAAUCGUCAUCGUGGCAAUACACUGCUUAGACUUGUCGAAAGUGUACAGGGAAACGUCUAUCUCUUGUCCUAUGGAAAGUCCAGCCCAUUUUCUCUGGGGUAAGCUGAAGGCGAUGUUGCCAGGAACAACAGAGGGAUGUGUUCUCAGUGUGAAGAUGUAUUUGUGAUUGGGAGAAGUCUUCACCACAACGUGUUGUCCAGAUGGGAAGUCUGUGUCAUUCACCACCGCACAGUUCGUUAAUGACAGUUCAUCAGUGGGACAUCGUGCUGCUUGCAUAGGCCGCCCCGCCAUCUUGUCGCCUCACACCGCAGCGCAGAGCCAUGGGGCGGUGCUGCGCAUGCGCGGAAAGGGGCGGAACGAACCGCAGCAGAGAGGCUGCGGGUUCGAGGCUGACCUCGGCCGUGUGCGGUGUAGGGCCGUGCGUGGGGUCGGGCGGUUCUGUUUUAUAGACCACAGCGUCGUUAU
RNAcentral lists this long non-coding RNA (515 nucleotides) under Gallus gallus (chicken). Lineage: Eukaryota; Metazoa; Chordata; Aves; Galliformes; Phasianidae. The record is from RNAcentral.